AGAUGUCGCUGUAGAUUUAGCAGCACAUUACUGUAAAAAUCCACAGUACAAUACUGCAUGUGUAUAUUACAGUAAAAUACUGCAGUUCACAAUGCAUUAUGGGUAAUUUUGAUUGAGCGGGAAACUUCUACAGUAUAUUUUGGUCUCACUGUAACCUAGCUGUAGCCUUGCUGUAAUGUGUUAGUCAAUAAUACAGGAUUGGUGUAGCGAAAGUGCGCCACAACGUCAAAUCACACAGAGCACAACUCCUGGCUGCAGCUGGAGGAGGAUAUUCGAUUCGAUUUCUGGCAGUUCGGUAAGUUUGCAGUUUGGUUUAUUUUAUGUGUUUCAUGCAAAGCUAUUAUUUAGUUUUAGUAUUUUGCACAACAGUUUGUCACAAUGUUGUUUUAAACGUGGAAUGAGAGAAAAGGUCGCCAACAAACGUUGCAGUCUCCCUCAGAAAUUAAACUACGUUAGAUGUCUAACUGUUACCCACUGCUUAAACCCGAUUUACACAUCCCACUUAAUUAAUCAUGAGGGUUUUGGUGAGUUUAUUUUCUGUGGAAUUGUUUGUUCGUUUACAAUGGCAAGGUAGGUAAAAUGACUUGUAUUUGGCAAUAGAUAAACUCCCGUUAACCAAUUUACUCCCGUUAACCAAUUGAACUAAGACUCCUCGCAAGCGCGGUAUUGCUGUCCCAGCUUAGGAUCGCUUAUCUUGGCUUUCCUUUGUUCAGUUAGGGGCAGGGAGGAGCAGCAGCAGUAUUCAGUUCGACCGUAUGACAGGCUAACUCGUGAAUUAGCUGUGCACGUGCUAAAACAACAUUUUCAUAUCAAUCACUAAUCAGUAUUUGCGUCUUCUUUUAAAUGUAAAAAUACUGUUCGGAUAUAUGAACAUCAACAUAGUUUGUCUGUAAAUAGACCAGACUUGACACACGCUUUCAGGUUCUAUAUCUCGCGCUCUCACUCGGCCCAAAUAAAUCUCAUGUGAAAUAACAAAGACACUGUAAAGUAACGUUAGCCCACACAGCACCAAACUGCUCCACACGAAGUGAAACGUAAUAUUUAACUGCGAUGAGUGCGAUCUAUACAGAUUACUGCGGUUUUCAUACACUAACAGGUGAAUAAAUGGUUCGCGGUGUUAUUACUGUUUACUUAUUACGGUAUAUCAGCAAAAGCAGAGAUGAUGUUCUUUAGAGUGUUUUACAUUCAGUUGGCCAAUAAGUAUUGUGUGGUAGCAUAUUUGUAGCAAUAUUGCUUCCAACACUUACAACAAGUUUCCAACGCCUCAAAUCAAUGCACGUACUUUAAAUGAUAAUUUUGCUACAUUUUUGCUUGGCUAUCUUAAAUGUAUAUAAUAAACAGAAUGGUUUCAAAAUUUUAGCAAGUAACAUAUUUUUUUUCCUUUCAGCUUUAGCGUGACAGUUUGGUCCCUUUUUGCACCCUGGGUUUAUGGGUUUUCUAUCAAGAUUUAAUGGCGACUUCAGUCAUCCUGCUCUUGAUGGCCUUCUUCAGAGAGGCGAUGGACUCCCUGUUCAUCUUAACUGAUGUCACUGCAACCCAGGCAGAUGUGA
This is a long non-coding RNA of Triplophysa rosa, 1550 nucleotides long. RefSeq lists it as uncharacterized. The record is from RefSeq and is a predicted model, not a curated record. The transcript has 3 exons. Lineage: Eukaryota; Metazoa; Chordata; Actinopteri; Cypriniformes; Nemacheilidae.